AUGAGAGGUAGAGAAGAAGAACCAGAAGGAGGAGCAGCCAUGAGCAAGAAUGGGGGCAGCUUGGACUUUCCCUUUGACUGCGCCGAGGAGACACAAUUUCUGGAGACACACCUGCAGAGUCACUGCAAGGAUGUGGUGACUCAGCCUCCCUCUGUGUCUGCAGCCCUGGGGAGCUCGGCCAGACUCUCCUGCACCCUGAGUAGUGCGUCCAGUCGUUAUGAUGUUGGUUGGCACCAGCAGAGCCCAGGAAAGCCCCCUCGGUACCUCCUGUAUAUCGAUAGCAGUGGAAGUACAGGCAGGGCCGACGGGAUCCCUGAGCGCUUCUCUGGCUCCGGAUCUGGGACUAACCGAUUCCUGUCCAUCAGCAACGUCCAGCCUGAGGAUGAGGCCGAUUAUUUCUGCCAGUCGUAUUACUACUCUGGUGGUAGCUAUCCUUAUACACAGUGA
Molecule: non-coding RNA, 447 nt
Organism: Monodelphis domestica (gray short-tailed opossum)
Lineage: Eukaryota; Metazoa; Chordata; Mammalia; Didelphimorphia; Didelphidae
Source: the annotation of a RefSeq genome assembly